RNAcentral lists this ribosomal RNA (432 nucleotides) under uncultured bacterium. RNAcentral's name for it is "bacterial SSU rRNA". It matches the Rfam family "Bacterial small subunit ribosomal RNA", at positions 28 to 443 of the family's 1533-position model. The record is from RNAcentral.
GACGAACGCUGGCGGCGUGCCUAACACAUGCAAGUCGAACGGAACUGUUUUGAAAGAUUUCUUCGGAAUGAAUUUGAUUUAGUUUAGUGGCGGACGGGUGAGUAACGCGUGAGUAACCUGCCUUCAAGAGGGGGAUAACAUUCUGAAAAGGAUGCUAAUACCGCAUGAUAUAUCGGAACCACAUGGUUCUGAUAUCAAAGAUUUUANCGCUUGAAGAUGGACUCGCGUCCGAUUAGUUAGUUGGUGAGGUAACGGCUCACCAAGACCGCGAUCGGUAGCCGGACUGAGAGGUUGAACGGCCACAUUGGGACUGAGACACGGCCCAGACUCCUACGGGAGCAGCAGUGGGGGAUAUUGCGCAAUGGGGGCAACCUGACGCAGCAACGCCGCGUGAAGGAUGAAGUUUUCGGAUUGUAAACUUCUUUAUUAAGG